ACAAGAGGCCGCCACAAGAGUCCCAGCUACAGGAGUGAUCUUGCAUCACAUGAUUUGGUGGGAAGGGAUGGUGAUUUUCUGCGUUCUAAAGAAUCUCACAGGAGAAGCAACAAGGAAAUGGAUGGCCACAAGGAAGAUUUGUUGCCGAAGAGGAAACAUGACGACAGGGAAACUGAGAAGCCAAAGGAGAGAUAUACUAGAGAACCCAG
Molecule: unclassified non-coding RNA, 209 nt
Filed under: Hevea brasiliensis (rubber tree)
Lineage: Eukaryota; Viridiplantae; Streptophyta; Magnoliopsida; Malpighiales; Euphorbiaceae
Source: RNAcentral